Molecule: ribosomal RNA, 253 nt
Filed under: uncultured bacterium
Lineage: Bacteria
Description: partial 16S ribosomal RNA
Rfam family: Bacterial small subunit ribosomal RNA
Source: RNAcentral
UACGAAGGGGGCUAGCGUUGUUCGGAAUUGCUGGGCGUAAAGCGCACGUAGGCGGACAUUUAAGUCAGGGGUGAAAUCCCAGAGCUCAACUCUGGAACUGCCUUUGAUACUGGGUGUCUAGAGUAUGGAAGAGGUGAGUGGAAUUCCGAGUGUAGAGGUGAAAUUCGUAGAUAUUCGGAGGAACACCAGUGGCGAAGGCGGCUCACUGGUCCAUUACUGACGCUGAGGUGCGAAAGCGUGGGGAGCAAACAGG